Molecule: ribosomal RNA, 305 nt
Filed under: uncultured bacterium
Lineage: Bacteria
Description: partial 16S ribosomal RNA
Rfam family: Bacterial small subunit ribosomal RNA
Source: RNAcentral
ACAGCAGUAGCGCGGUAAUACGGAGGGUGCAAGCGUUAUCCGGAUUUAUUGGGUUUAAAGGGUCCGUAGGCGGACUUAUAAGUCAGUGGUGAAAGCCUGUCGCUUAACGAUAGAACUGCCAUUGAUACUGUAAGUCUUGAGUAUAUUUGAGGUAGCUGGAAUAAGUAGUGUAGCGGUGAAAUGCAUAGAUAUUACUUAGAACACCAAUUGCGAAGGCAGGUUACCAAGAUAUAACUGACGCUGAGGGACGAAAGCGUGGGUAGCGAACAGGAUUAGAUACCCCCGUAGUCCCUGUCUCUUAUACA